Molecule: ribosomal RNA, 301 nt
Filed under: uncultured bacterium
Lineage: Bacteria
Description: partial 16S ribosomal RNA
Rfam family: Bacterial small subunit ribosomal RNA
Source: RNAcentral
CAGUCGCCACGGUAAUACGUAGGGUGCAAGCGUUAAUCGGAAUUACUGGGCGUAAAGCGUGCGUAGGUGGUGGUUUAAGUCCGUUGUGAAAGCCCUGGGCUCAACCUGGGAAUUGCAGUGGAUACUGGGUCACUAGAGUGUGGUAGAGGAUAGUGGAAUUUCCGGUGUAGCAGUGAAAUGCGUAGAGAUCGGAAGGAACAUCUGUGGCGAAGGCGACUAUCUGGGCCAACACUGACACUGAGGCACGAAAGCGUGGGGAGCAAACAGGAUUAGAUACCCCUGUAGUCCCUGUCUCUUAUAC